CCAAAUAAACAACGUUAAUAACAAUUUUACAAUAGAAAAAUUAAAAAUUGAUAAAUGGCAGUUGUAAUUUAUGUAUGCGUAAAGAUAGCUUCACAUCCAGGGUCCUCCCAUAAACAUGCUUGUAACAAGAAUUAGUUUGCCUCAACUGCUAGCAACUAUACAAUAGUAAAAAUCACUCUUAUGAACUCAACAAUACUAGGCACCAAUAAGAGUAUGAUACAGCCAUUCUAAAUGGAAGAGAAUACAACUGUUUUACAACUAUGUUGCAUCAGGAGAUAUGUUAGGAGGAUUAAUCCAGAUACCUUCCAACCCAAUUAGGAAAACUCAAGGUCAGAAACCAGGAGCUGCAACCAAACCUUACAAUCUUGAAG
This 371-nucleotide long non-coding RNA is filed under the name Citrus maxima (pomelo). RNAcentral describes it as "long non-coding RNA (CMAX_LNC003446)". The record is from RNAcentral. Lineage: Eukaryota; Viridiplantae; Streptophyta; Magnoliopsida; Sapindales; Rutaceae.